AGAGCUUGCUCUCUGGGUGGCGAGUGGCGGACGGGUGAGUAACGCGUAAGAAUCUGCCUAUUAGUGGGGGAUAACUACCGGAAACGGUGGCUAAUACCGCAUACGCCCUACGGGGGAAAGUGGGGGACCUUCGGGCCUCACGCUAUUAGAUGAGCUUGCGUAGGAUUAGCUUGUUGGUGAGGUAAUGGCUCACCAAGGCGACGAUCCUUAGCUGGUUUGAGAGAACGAUCAGCCACACUGGGACUGAGACACGGCCCAGACUCC
RNAcentral lists this ribosomal RNA (264 nucleotides) under uncultured bacterium. RNAcentral describes it as "partial 16S ribosomal RNA". It matches the Rfam family "Bacterial small subunit ribosomal RNA", at positions 75 to 339 of the family's 1533-position model. The record is from RNAcentral.